UUUAUUAUUUGUUUUUGUUUUAAUUUAUUUUAUUGAAAGUAUUCUAUUUGUUUUAGUAUUUUUAUAGAAUUAAUUUUUUUUAUUAUAGUAUAUUGUACUGUGAAGGUAAUAUCUUUUUUAUUUUGUAAGUAGUAUUUUUUUUAUGUACCUUUUGUAUCAGGGUUUAUUAAUUAUUACUAUUUAUUUAGUUUUCCCGAAAUUAAAAGAGCUAUAUUAUUAUGAAGGUUAUUGUUUCAUAACUAUCUUUAAUAUUUUUAUAGAGGAGAUAUUCUAUUCAAUUUUAAAUAUCUGGUUUUCUAAUAAUUAAAUUUAAUUUAGGCUUAAUUCUUGUUAUUUAUUUAAUUUUAUUAAUUAUAAUGUUUUAUGCUACGAUAAGUGGGGAUAAGCUCAUUUAUUUUUCUAUAAUUUUUUUAUUUUAUUUAAUUUUUUGUAGGUUUGAUAACGGCCAUCAUUUAUUUCGUUACAGUAAAUUUUUAUUUUAUUUUGAUUUAUUUUUAUUUAGAUUUUUAUUAGAAUUAUUUUCUUUAAUUUUUUAUGUUUUGUAAUAAUGAUAAAAUUAGUAUGUUUGUUAUUUGCAAUAUAGGAAUUCGGCAAAUAUUAUUUCCGCCUGUUUAACAAAAACAUGUCCUUUUGGUAUUUAUUUAAGGUCUAACCUGCCCAAUGAUUUUUCAAUGGCCGCGGUAAUUUGACCGUGCAAAGGUAGCAUAAUCACUUGUCUCUUAAAUGGAGGCUAGAAUGAAUGGUUGGACGAGAUAUAUACUUUCUUUGUUGUAUUAAGUUGAAUUUAAUUUUUGAGUUAAAAAGCUUAAAUUUUUUUAUGGGACGAGAAGACCCUGUAGAAUUUUAUAUUAAUUCAUUUUUAAUUGUUUUUUGUUUAUUAUUGACUUUUUUAUUUGUUUUAAUAUUUUGUUGGGGCGACAGGAAGAUUUUUUAAACUCUUCUUAUUUCUUUUCACUGAUUUGUGUUUUUAUUUUGAUCCUUUAUUAAAGAUUAUUAGAUUGAAUUACCUCAGGGAUAACAGCGUAAUCCUUUUGGAGAGCUCUUAUCGAUAAAAGGGUUUGCGACCUCGAUGUUGAAUUAAGAUUAGUGUCAGGGGCAGUUUUUUGAUUGACUAGGUCUGUUCGACCUUUAAAUUCUUACAUGAUUUGAGUUCAGACCGGUGUGAGCCAGGUUGGUUUCUAUCCUUAAUUUUUGUUUAACUUUUUAGUACGAAAGGACCGGAAGUUUGGAAUAAUUUUUUUAUUUAUUGAUUAAUAUUAA
Molecule: ribosomal RNA, 1260 nt
Filed under: Lethocerus indicus
Lineage: Eukaryota; Metazoa; Arthropoda; Insecta; Hemiptera; Belostomatidae
Description: 16S ribosomal RNA
Rfam family: Archaeal large subunit ribosomal RNA (bases 820-1184)
Source: RNAcentral